Molecule: small nucleolar RNA, 80 nt
Filed under: Bos indicus x Bos taurus (hybrid cattle)
Lineage: Eukaryota; Metazoa; Chordata; Mammalia; Artiodactyla; Bovidae
Also listed under: 1 other name
Source: RNAcentral
CUGGCUACAUGAUGAAUAAAAUCAAAUCACCAUCUUUCGGCUGAGCUCUUGAUGGAUUUGCUUUUUUCUGACAAAGCCAG